RNAcentral lists this transfer RNA (71 nucleotides) under Marmota monax (woodchuck). RNAcentral's name for it is "tRNA.Thr". It matches the Rfam family "tRNA". Rfam says of the family: Transfer RNA (tRNA) molecules are approximately 80 nucleotides in length. Their secondary structure includes four short double-helical elements and three loops (D, anti-codon, and T loops). Lineage: Eukaryota; Metazoa; Chordata; Mammalia; Rodentia; Sciuridae. The record is from RNAcentral.
GGGGCUGUAGCUCAGUGGCAGAGCACUUACCUUGUGUGUAUGAGACACUGGGUUUGAUCCUCAGCACCACA